CGCCCUACGGGAGGCAGCAGUGGGGAAUCUUGCACAAUGGGCGAAAGCCUGAUGCAGCGACGCCGCGUGGGCGAAGAAGGCCUUUGGGCCGUAAAGCCCUGUCGGGAGGGAAGAAGGAAGCGACGGUACCUCCCAAGGAAGCCCCGGCUAACUACGUGCCAGCAGCCGCGGUAAUACGUAGGGGGCAAGCGUUAUCCGGAUUUACUGGGUGUAAAGGGGGCGCAGACGGCGAUGCAAGCCAGGAGUGAAAGCCCGGGGCCCAACCCCGGGACUGCUCUUGGAACUGCGUGGCUGGAGUGCCGGAG
This 305-nucleotide ribosomal RNA is filed under the name uncultured bacterium. RNAcentral describes it as "bacterial SSU rRNA". It matches the Rfam family "Bacterial small subunit ribosomal RNA", at positions 335 to 654 of the family's 1533-position model. The record is from RNAcentral.